AAAACUAAAGCCAAUAGGUGAAUUUUUUUUUUCCCUAUCAGAUGGAAAUCCAAUGGUGAGGUGCGGCUCUCAUGAUCUAAUCAUUUCAAGCCUCUGAUGAGUAGGGUGCCCAGUAUCUGGGUCCUGCUGGAUGCCUCUCUUAAAGCCUUCUGCCAACAUGGUGGUGCCACUAAUUUUUGAGAACAUUCUUGCCUUGUCUAACACAUGAACUGUGGGGAGACACCUCGUACUCAACCAGAACAGAUUGAAAGGAAAACAAAGCAGCGAGAGAUGAUGGGACAGAGAGGGACAGGGCGCUGCUUCAGAAGGGCCAUCUGAGGAGGAGGAUCACGUGGAGACCUGUGUGGAAUGAGGUCGGGGGAGCCACAAGGCUGCAGGGAAGUGAGCAAGGGGAGGGGUGGGAAGCAAGGCCUGAAUUGGGGUCCCAGACAGCUCUGCUGCAGAUUUGAUAGUGUUUUCUUCUAGGAAUGAAAGGACAAUCACUGGAGGGUGUCUCGGGUAGAGGGAAAAUUCCAGGCGAAGUCUUUUAAUACCAACAGAGAAACCUGGACAAGAGACUACCUGUUCCCACUGUGCUCUCCAAAGGCUGAUGUACCAUGCCUCUCCUGGGCACUAUGGCUGUGGCCACCUGAAGAAGAGACCACAGGGGAAGACCACCGUGGCCAGGAGGAGGACAGGAUGGAGAAGCUGAGGCUCAAACUGCUGAUCAGAUAGAAUGAAGAUGUAAAAAGAGGCCUGUCCCACAUCUGGACAAUGUUCUUAAUCAACAUUCAUUAUCUAUUCAAUUUAUUCAAUAAAUACUGACUGUGUGGCAGCAAAACUGAAGGAGCCCUUUGUAGUUUGAGGCUUGUAGGUGCUUUCUUCAAUCUAGUUUUUUUUGGGGGGGGAGGUGGCAGGUGUACUGGGGAUUGAACUCAGAGGCACUCAACCGCUGAGCCACAUCCUCAGCCCUAUUUUGUAUUUUAUUUAGAGACAGGGUCUCACUGAGUUGCUUAGCACCUUGCUGUUGCUGAGACUGGAUUUGAACUUGUGAUCCUCCUGCUUCAGCCUCCCAAGUUGCUAGGAUUACAGAUGUGUGCUACUGUGCCCUGCUUCAAUCUAGUUAUUAUUUAUGGAUGAAGAUGAUAAAGAAAUGGAUCCUAUUAAGCACCAUGUAUAUUUUGUCUUGUUUAAUUGGAGAACUCUACAAAUAAUUUACAUCAGCUGAAUUUUUAAACUUUACAUUUAAUGAAGAGUUAGGUAUGGACUAUUUUCCCAACUGGCUACACAGGUCAUCUCCAUCUACUCUGUUUAGAUAAAUAUUUCUUUUGGAUUCUGAUUUUACCCAAUUCAGGAACAUUAAAUGUGUCAACAAACUCUGAAACAAGGCUAACAUAACGUAAAUGUCAAGUUUCUUGGAUUUGUUGCAAGCUGUAUAAAACAAAACAGUAAUGAGCAUUAAGAAAA
RNAcentral lists this long non-coding RNA (1446 nucleotides) under Ictidomys tridecemlineatus (thirteen-lined ground squirrel). RNAcentral's name for it is "lncRNA (ENSSTOG00000031634.1)". Lineage: Eukaryota; Metazoa; Chordata; Mammalia; Rodentia; Sciuridae. The record is from RNAcentral.